Molecule: long non-coding RNA, 3873 nt
Organism: Ornithodoros turicata
Lineage: Eukaryota; Metazoa; Arthropoda; Arachnida; Ixodida; Argasidae
Exons: 5
Source: RefSeq, a predicted model, not a curated record
UGUCAUUCAUUUGACAAGACGCUCUGAAUCAUCCUCUUGGAGACUAAGGUUUGUAGAUCAGAUUUGGAACCGCUAAUCCGACGCCAUACCAGUGCACCUCUGCGGAGGAAGCCAGUAUGAGUCCUUUGCUCUCCGCCUCUUUUGGUUGUGGCCGUCACAGGGUUUGCUGCCUCGUACUCGGCACGCUUUCCCUUUCAUCUGAUAGUAACAGAGUUUCCCAUGGAUAUCCCUCUCAAUGUCCUCCGCGAGUCGGACUCUGGACGUUCUGUCCCAAUAAUCACAUGGGAGCACCCUCGAGUUGGUGAGUUGGUGUUGCACAUGCUGAUCAACACUUGCAAGAGCGAAAGGAUCAUACCUAACCCGGAGGUUGCUGGAUAUUGUGAAACUUUGGCGAAAUGUGGUCGAUCGAAACCCUGACCAUCAUGAUUUCCGUCCAGAGAUGCUACCCGUUUCAGCACGUCAAUAUUUUUAUUCUGUGUUUUCUGUUUUUGGAGAAAGUAGCAUAGUUCUUCGAGCCCGAGGAGCGGGGACAGUUCCGCGUCGUCAUCAUCAUGCCGGUCCCGGUCCUGAUACUCAAUGUAUACAGGGUGUGUGCAGAAAGACGUGACCCGCAUUUUUACAUGUAACUCGUUGCCUACUUACACGAGGAACUUCCGGUGGCGUACGAUGGCGUAUUUAUGCGUGCGAAAGCUACAAAAAACAAACAAACCUGGAAGCCAUACUGAGCGUGAAAAAAAAAAAAUAAACAGAGCGCGAAAACAUCGGCUUCCAUGCAUUAGAAUGGGGCGGCCAUGAGAGUGCAUGGUAGUGCAUGGCGGUCUCAGGAGAGUUACGUGCAGGCACCGCCAGGGGUACUACCAUGUGGGACAUCGUUUCGAUUUCUGCACCGAUAGCUCCCCUAGCGGUACUUGAACACAACUCUACUGCGUCCGCCAUGUUGCCCUAUUCUGAUGCACGGAGGCCGAAGUUUUCGUUGCUCUGUCUAUUUUUUUAAGCUGAGUAUGGCUUCCACGAUUUUUCUGCACAUUUCGCACGCAUAAAUGCACCAUCGUGCGCCAGCGGAACGUUCGUUAGUUCGGUAGACAACAAGCUAUGUGCCUAAAUGCGGAUCACGUUUUUCUGCACACACCCUGUACUACGCUGCCUUCUUCAGAUAUACACACCAACUCGCUUGCUUACUGUUUCUUUGUUCGCCUUCUGUUUUUUCGUGAUAUGUCCAAGAGCACUGCAUAAAAUGAUCUGUAUGGACUACUGUGGCAUGAACACAAAGCUACACAUGCUGCACAUUAUCACUUUCCGGGUGCCCCUAACACAACUAGAUAUGCAUUGUAAGGCAGGCUCAUGUAAUCACUGCUCAGCGGAACGUGCUGUUCGUGGAAUAUAACGCUUCGCCACUUUCGUACCGGGUCGUCAUUCCAGGUGAAAAGAAGGGAGUGGACUAAAGAAAACACCAUUCGACGGAAUAUGUACCUUGAGCCAACAGGCCAAUAUUUUGCGUCGCAUAUGUGCCGAGCAACGCACGGGGGGGGGGGGGGGUGUACACGAAAUCCACCAUUAAGAAUAAGCCGCUUACGAAUACAGCAUUAAAGAUAAAACCGCUUAAAAAUACACGGUUUAAAAUUAAUCUGCUCCAACGGGUCUCUCCAAAUCGGGUCAAUUCCAAAGAUGAACUGCUUAAAACGCCCACUUAAAGAUCACCGGUUAAUAAUCCACCAUUAAAAAGAAACUGUUUCAAAAUCCCCGUUCAUCUAGCACGGAAGGGGACUGUUUCUCUUCGGUGUCGGGUUAUAUCGAAUGUUGUUAGGUAUAUUAGGUUAGGUUGGGUUGGGUACCGGUUGACACCAGACUAAUGUAAACUGGCAACGCAAGUUAGACCAACUGAUACCACUUUGCGUCUAACUGGAAUGAACCAGGGCUAUGAGUAUGACCGGUUGGAAUCAAAAUGGGACUGGGCCAAAGCGAAGCAGAAUAAACUGGCAGUUGAAGUGGAAGCAGCUUUGCCCAAGUGGUAACCGUAGUGGAUCCAGCUAGUUCCACUGCUGCUAUAACCGGCAUAAACUUUGUGUUUUGUCAGUGACCAGUUGCAGUCAAUAUUGAACUAGUUCAAGGUGAAGCGGAAUGAACUGGGAAUCGAAGUGGGAUAAGUCGUGGCCAAGUGCUUGCGAUGGUGGAUUCAGCUGAUGCCCCGUCUUGUCUAUCUAGCACGUUAGACCAUCCGUUCGUGCCAAAACCGCGCUGGUUCGAGUCGGAGUUGAAGGAACUGGAAAGUCAAGUAGCUUCCAACUCGUGGACCACUUCAGUCAGGGUAGCCACAUUUCUCCACGAAAAAAUAUGGGUUCAGGGAGAGAUGAGGUGAAAGGAGGGGGAGAGCGAAGCUUGGCAAGGGAAAUAAUAGGUGUUCAUCCAAGAUGAUGUGCUAAAAUUUGUUGUUACAUUUUUGUCCGAGAUAAAAUCAGUUGCUAGUUGAACGGUUCCGCGUUCUCAAUCAGGUCCAGUCGCAACCGACACGCUCUACACAAUCUCGCACUUGUAGUAUAUAUUCGGUUAGCAUAUCGUUCAAUACAUGCGUGCUCUGGAAUAUGCAUAAUCUGUCAGCUUGCAGUUGUCUCGCAACGUAAAGCCGCGGGUUAUUAUUAUUGUGUCAGUUCCUCUACCACGUUCAAUGAAAGAUGUACUAUAGGUAGGGUUGCGCGUUCUCGAUUCUAAUCGAAAAACACCGAAUACAGAGGGACAUUCCAGGAACUAUGACAGAGAUAAAUUGCUGCACAUGCCCAGCAAGUUGUUGGUGCAGAUCAGAAAACCAUACAGUAAUACGAUGGCUGUGGAAAAUGUCCGUUUCCUUUUUCUACUUUUUCUACUACUUCUACUUGAUGUCACAAAGCUUCGUAUUCGUAUUGGUUGUUGUCAUUCGUAAGGCUGCGUUAUACGCACAGCACUGAAAUUACAUUGUGAUCUCUAUUCGCCGAUAAAUGUCGGGUAAACCACGUACACACCAGAAAAAAAAAAGAACAUCGGAAAACACUGAUGUCGUGAAAAUCAAUAAACACCGAAAAACAUACGCCGAAUCCGCCCAAAAAUAAAAACCGAAAACGAGGAACCUUAACUAUAGGUCCAGUCCCUUUCCAUUUGAAAGAACAACAAAUACGGAAAGUCACGGCUACCCUAAUUAUUUUCUUUAAAUACUUCACAAAUGAAUGCAUUACAUGGGACGGACGUCGAAAUAAGUCGUUAAAAAUAAGGCGUUAAAAAUUCCACGCUUCGAAAUACACUCCUCAAAAUCCACCUUCUGGGAUAAAUCGCUGAAAAAGCCACGCACUCAAAAUAAACACUGCCAAAAUAACUCAUAGUUAGGCUUCGGGAUUAAUAAAGCAUUAAAAAUUCCCCGCUUCAAAAGACAGUCGUAAAAAUGCUCCGUUUGGAAUAAAUCGCUGAUAAAUAAACGCCCUCAAAAUGAACACUGCCAGGAUAAAUCAGAGUUAGGGAGGGAGUGUUCUGAAGAAGCAAAAUAUAUGUAACGCAAUAUAAGAAUCGAGCAUUGAAAGACAUGCCGGAGAACAUAACGGGUGAUAGAUCGAGCAAGGUAUUUGUAGUCACUGACUUCCUGUACGUAUUGGGUGUGUCCCGGACGCUCUUCGUUCCUUACGUUAUUAACCGGUUGCAUCACCUCUUUCUAUCUCAGAUUUGAUCCAACCGUAUGUCCUCAUCCGGACGUUGUGCGCGCGUCUACGAAGAGCGGGAAAAGAAACGAGCGAUAAUUACCAGAAACUAUGCAUAGAUGGACCGUUUAACUUUUCGACAGAACUGAAAUGAAUAAACAAUUGAAAUAACGAAUAUAUGACAUAAGUGAAACAAUAAAGAAUGCAAAAAAAAAGA